RNAcentral lists this transfer RNA (82 nucleotides) under Ceratocystis platani. It matches the Rfam family "tRNA". Rfam says of the family: Transfer RNA (tRNA) molecules are approximately 80 nucleotides in length. The record is from Rfam by way of RNAcentral. Lineage: Eukaryota; Fungi; Ascomycota; Sordariomycetes; Microascales; Ceratocystidaceae.
GACACUUUGGCCGAGUGGUUAAGGCGGCAGCCUGCUAAGCUGUUGGGUUCUACCCGCGCGGGUUCAAAUCCCGCAGGUGUCG